ACCCUUAAAUGACUCUGAAUUAGUCAGUUAUAUUCUUGCGGGUCUCAAUUUUGAAUAUGAUCUGCUUAUCACUUCUCUUACCACUCGUAUUGAUCCCAUGCCUCUUCAAGAAGUAUAAGGCCAUCUUCUGACAUAUGAGC
This is a small nucleolar RNA of Juglans microcarpa x Juglans regia, 140 nucleotides long. RefSeq annotates it as small nucleolar RNA Z247. The transcript has a single exon. NCBI's taxonomy places the organism in Eukaryota, Viridiplantae, Streptophyta, Magnoliopsida, Fagales, Juglandaceae. The record is from RefSeq and is a predicted model, not a curated record.